Molecule: long non-coding RNA, 2580 nt
Organism: Meleagris gallopavo (turkey)
Lineage: Eukaryota; Metazoa; Chordata; Aves; Galliformes; Phasianidae
Source: Ensembl
AACAAUUUCAAUAAAAAGCACACGAGCCUUCACCAGUGUGCACUUAGGACUGAAAGGAGCAUCAGUGUGGAGCAAUGUGAAGUUUUCGGGGACUGUGUCAGCCCCAUUGGAAUCCUGCACGAGAACGCUGCGCAACCAGUAACUGUGGGAGCGCACAGACCUCCGGCUGUGCUCAUCUUCCAACAGGUUUCCUUCAGGUUUGGUGUACAGUGUGGAAAUUUGAUAAAGGCCGAUCUGAGACAAGCUGAGAUGUCAAAGCACCGCGCCCGGCCCUGGUGGCACGUCGCCGGCACCUUUCUCAACACUGGGGUUUAUUUAACAUUCUGCCAGCGGGUGGAUACACGGCGGGAGCCGCGUCGCGCGCAGAGAAUGUCCAUAAGGCCUGAAGUACCUCUACUGAGACUGGAGUUCCCUGUCAACCUUGCUGGUCCCACAUCAAGCAUCCUAGCUGAAAAAAGCCCACAAAUCAGGAAUGUUUAAAAGGGCCUCAGAUAUUAUUAUCCAGUCUAAUCUUAGUCUGCCUUUUGCUGAUUAAUCAUUAUUUUGAUGUAUGAGGGAAUAUCCACUACAGAAAUAGUAUAACUGUAAGUUGAUGUACAAUUCCUUUCUUUCCCCCUUAAUGUCUUCUAUGAUAUUCGUGUGAAUUGUGAAUAUGGAAUUGGUUUACUCAAAAAGAUUCAUAUGAUCAAGUUUUCUGUCUGUUUACUUGCUUAUAUAAAUGUUUUCAAUUUAACAAAACAAUUUAUAAUGAAUACUGUGAAACAAAUUUUAAAGAAUGAGCUCUUGAAAUAGAAAUCAUAAUAAAAAUGCUUUUCUCCCCUCCAAAAUAUUUAUUUUAACAUGUGGUCACAUUUUCACAUUAAUUGAAAUCUUACUAGGAGAGUAAAUCUUUUUCCCUUUUCUUCCCUUCUUGUAGCUUCCCAGUUCUUACACAAAUUAAAGCAUAUGCAUGCAUAACUUGUGAUUUUUAAAGCAAAUAACAUUUUGUAAAUUCAUGGUAUCAUUAAAAAGCAUUAAGUCAAACGGUAGUAUUACACAGAUCAUUUUGUAAUUUACCUUUUCAUUUUAACAAAAGAUAUAUAUUUUUGGUGAUAAUUCCUUGAUUACUGAGUUUCAUAGAAGGUUCUAAAUAUUCCUAAAUUUAGUCCUGAUCAGUUACAAAGUAAUCUUAUGUAGAUAUUCAGAAGUAGUUUAUAAGACUCUGGAAUAACAGUUCCAGAUACUGGGAACUGUCUACAACAACAAUACAACAAUACUUAUUUAUUUGGGAAGGAAACUCCUUUAUUUUAAAGGAGGUAGAUUAGGGAGUAAAGGCAGAACACCAGUACUGUAGCUCCUGGCUUCCUGUAUGGAAAGCUGCAUGCUUUUCCCAUUCAGAUUUAUAGAAACAAUUUAAAAUAAAUAGAUUAUAAAUAUCCAGUUACUUUCAAGAAACUUUUCUUGGCAACAGAAUCUAAAAUCAAGUACUAUAUCAAACAAAAUGUGAGGCAUGCCACAGAGCUUAUCUGCUUUCUCCUGAAGAAAGCUUUUUGAGCCACAAGCCUAGAGCUAGCUGAAUCACCCUGUGCUGCAGCAAGUAGAACGGCUGUAAAGAUUUUAAAUCAUUUUUAAUCGUUUUCUCUAUUAAAACUCACCAGUGCCCUUCUUCUGCUUCUCCAGGAAGUUGUACCCGUCAGCACCUGCUGAGGGCUUUGUUGAUCAAACCGGCAGGUAAAAAAAUUCCUGUAGAAUAAAGCCAGACCAGCUGGCUUUGAAGAGAAACCCCCCAGUUUGGGUUGUGUUUGCCUCACUCACCCUCUCCUCAGCAGCCCUGGGCUUUUUCUCCUUUGGUUGUUGACCUGUAGGCUGCGUGAUGCGGGCGCACAAGUGUCUGGCAGGCCAAGGUGCACCUGCUUCUGUCACUCGCAAGUAAAUUUAGCUGUAAAAGGUAUCACUGACAAGCAGACCUUUGUCAGUGCUGGCAAAUGAACACAGCAUUGCUGUCCCCCUUCAAAGUACGCUACAAGUUCAAAUGGAAAAUAUCAAAUCAGUCAUCUUAUCCAGGAAUUGGUUCUUUGAGAAGAAAAAAGGCCAGAUUGCUUUCACAUGGCACAAAACUUUCCUCCUUUACAUAGAUGUUAAAAUUACAUUCCAAGAAUAAUCUCUGAACAAGACGGGGUUUUGUUCUUUUAAUUGUGGCUGGAAGGAAACUUUUUUUAAUGGAAAUGCAGCAUACACAUAUUUCAAUUCAGGUUAUUAAACUGUGUUAAGUAUUAAAGUUGAUUGCCUUUCUUUUCACUAACUCAUUGUGCUUUUUUAUCCAAAGAAAUAUUAGAAGACUAAAACCUCUGAAAUAGGAGGUAUUAAUCUCAGUCCCAAAAUUAGAAAGCAUGCAGUGUUGAGAGACUGGAUGUCAAAAUUACAUGUUCAUAGUACUUAUGCAAUGGGAAUCUAGGAAACAACCGCUUUUCAAAAUGGGAGCUAAAGUAGAUGGAGAGUCUUCCGAGAGUAAAGCCAUCUAAACUUGGUCUUCUUGUCCUUAUUGGAUUAAGGUAAGGGUAUUUAUCAUUUAUAUCUGCCCCUUGCUUUUUCUCUCUCUCU